AGUGAACGCUGGCGGUAGGCCUAACACAUGCAAGUCGAACGGCAGCACAGUAAGAGCUUGCUCUUACGGGUGGCGAGUGGCGGACGGGUGAGGAAUACAUCGGAAUCUACUUUUUCUUGGGGGAUAACGUAGGGAAACUUACGCUAAUACCGCAUACGACCUACGGGUGAAAGCAGUGGAUCUUCGGACCUUUCGCGUUUGUAUGAGCCGAGGUCGGAUUAGCUAGUUGGCGGGGUAAAGUCCCACCAAGGCGACGAUCCGUAGCUGGUCUGAGAGGAUGAUCAGCCACACUGGAAGUGAGACACGGUCCAGACUCCUACGGGAGGCAGCAGUGGGGAAUAUUGGACAAUGGGCGAAAGCCUGAUCCAGCAAUACCGCGUGGGUGAAGAAGGCCUUCGGGUUGUAAAGCCCUUUUGUUGGGAAAGAAAAGCAGCAGGUUAAAACCCCGCUGUUCUGACGGUACCCAAAGAAUAAGCACCGGCUAACUUCGUG
This 492-nucleotide ribosomal RNA is filed under the name uncultured bacterium. RNAcentral describes it as "partial 16S ribosomal RNA". It matches the Rfam family "Bacterial small subunit ribosomal RNA", at positions 29 to 507 of the family's 1533-position model. The record is from RNAcentral.